This 468-nucleotide ribosomal RNA is filed under the name uncultured bacterium. RNAcentral's name for it is "partial 16S ribosomal RNA". It matches the Rfam family "Bacterial small subunit ribosomal RNA", at positions 28 to 507 of the family's 1533-position model. The record is from RNAcentral.
GACGAACGCUGGCGGCGUGCUUAACACAUGCAAGUCGAACGGGAAGGACCUGCAACUGUGUGUCGCUCGAGUGGCGAGCGGGUGAGUAACACGAGACUAACCUGCCCAUGGCUACGGGAGAACUACAGGAAAGUGGGGCUAAUACCGGAUAGGAGCUCCAGCUGCAAGGUGGGGGUUGGAAGGUCUCGGCGGUUGUGGAGGGAUUCGCGGCGUAUCAGCUUGCUGGUGGGGUGGUGGCUUACCAAGGCUGUGACGGGUAGCCGGUCGGUGGGGGGGACCAGCCACAAUGGGACUGAGGAGACGCCGCGACGACUCCGAGGGGCAGCAGUAGGGGAUAAUUCACAGUGAGGGGAGGCCGGAUGAAGCAACGCCGCGGGCGGGAGGACGACGUCCGGGUUGUCGACAACUUUCGCCUCUGAAGAAGAGUCAGUGACGGUAAUGGGUAAAGAAGCACCGGCUAACUACGUG